GGUCAAGUGAAGAAGCGCAUACGGUGGAUGCCUUGGCAGUCAGAGGCGAUGAAAGACGUGGUAGCCUGCGAAAAGCUUUGGGGAGUCGGCAAACAGACUGUGAUCCAGAGAUCUCUGAAUGGGGGAACCCAGCCAGCACAAGCUGGUUAUCUUGUACUGAAUACAUAGGUGCAAGAGGCGAACCAGGGGAACUGAAACAUCUAAGUACCCUGAGGAAAAGAAAUCAACCGAGAUUCCCUUAGUAGUGGCGAGCGAACGGGGACCAGCCCUUAAGUUGAUUUGAGAUUAGUGGAACGCUCUGGAAAGUGCGGCCAUAGUGGGUGAUAGCCCCGUACACGAAAAUCUCUUGUCAAUGAAAUCGAGUAGGACGGAGCACGAGAAACUUUGUCUGAAUAUGGGGGGACCAUCCUCCAAGGCUAAAUACUACUGACUGACCGAUAGUGAACCAGUACCGUGAGGGAAAGGCGAAAAGAACCCCGGAGAGGGGAGUGAAAUAGAACCUGAAACCGUAUGCGUACAAGCAGUGGGAGCCUACUUUGUUAGGUGACUGCGUACCUUUUGUAUAAUGGGUCAGCGACUUAUAUUCAGUGGCAAGCUUAACCGAAUAGGGGAGGCGUAGCGAAAGCGAGUCUUAAUAGGGCGUUUAGUCGCUGGGUAUAGACCCGAAACCGGGCGAUCUAUCCAUGGGCAGGUUGAAGGUUAGGUAACACUGACUGGAGGACCGAACCGACUACCGUUGAAAAGUUAGCGGAUGACCUGUGGAUCGGAGUGAAAGGCUAAUCAAGCUCGGAGAUAGCUGGUUCUCCUCGAAAGCUAUUUAGGUAGCGCCUCAUGUAUCACUGUAGGGGGUAGAGCACUGUUUCGGCUAGGGGGUCAUCCCGACUUACCAAACCGAUGCAAACUCCGAAUACCUACAAGUGCCGAGCAUGGGAGACACACGGCGGGUGCUAACGUCCGUCGUGAAAAGGGAAACAACCCAGACCGUCAGCUAAGGUCCCAAAGUCAUGGUUAAGUGGGAAACGAUGUGGGAAGGCUUAGACAGCUAGGAGGUUGGCUUAGAAGCAGCCACCCUUUAAAGAAAGCGUAAUAGCUCACUAGUCGAGUCGGCCUGCGCGGAAGAUGUAACGGGGCUCAAACCAUGCACCGAAGCUACGGGUAUCAUCGUAUGAUGAUGCGGUAGAGGAGCGUUCUGUAAGCCUGUGAAGGUGAGUUGAGAAGCUUGCUGGAGGUAUCAGAAGUGCGAAUGCUGACAUGAGUAACGACAAUGCGAGUGAAAAACUCGCACGCCGAAAGACCAAGGUUUCCUGCGCAACGUUAAUCGACGCAGGGUUAGUCGGUCCCUAAGGCGAGGCUGAAAAGCGUAGUCGAUGGAAAACAGGUUAAUAUUCCUGUACUUCCAGUUAUUGCGAUGGAGGGACGGAGAAGGUUAGGCCAGCCUGGCGUUGGUUGUCCAGGUUUAAGGUGGUAGGCUGAAAUCUUAGGCAAAUCCGGGAUUUCAAGGCCGAGAGCUGAUGACGAGUUGCCUU
This 1526-nucleotide ribosomal RNA is filed under the name Pseudomonas putida. RNAcentral's name for it is "partial 23S ribosomal RNA". It matches the Rfam family "Bacterial large subunit ribosomal RNA", at positions 1 to 1580 of the family's 2925-position model. The record is from RNAcentral. Lineage: Bacteria; Pseudomonadati; Pseudomonadota; Gammaproteobacteria; Pseudomonadales; Pseudomonadaceae.